CCAGUUUAACCUGCAGGAGUUUCUGAAGGCUCGUUUAACGUGUUUUUCUGCCAUGGAGGAAAUAAAUUCAUGACAAGUGAAAAUGAGUCCAGAGCAUCUUCCAAUGUCUCUACUGCAGAAACAAGCCGCCAAAUACCAUCGUGACAGAUGAUAAUCAGCUCAAAAAGACAAACAGGCAGUCUUAUAAAUGCUAACAGCAGGAGAAAAGAAUUAUUGACCGCUUCCAAAAGCCUGUCAGGAGAGUGUGUGAGUAUGUAACUAUACUAUGAUGUAAGUUAUAUUCAAAAAGUAACGUUAUUUCUCCAAAAACAGCUGUUGGGAAAGGGGGGUAGUCUGAUAAUCAGAGUCGCCUUAUAUUCAUAUUAUUAUCUAUAUUUGUACCUCGAGCCCGAGUCCAUUAUGCCAUCGAGAGCCACUGUGACUAAACACAUUGAGAACACUUUUGAGAGGAAGAAGGAUGAGCUGAAAGUCAAGCUAGCUCUGACCACCGAUUGCUGGACAGCUCUCACAAAUGAAAGCUACAUCACAACUUUUCUUAAAAAUUAACCGCUUAGUUCUCGGUUAAUGAUUGUCGGUCUGUUGAAAGCAAAAUUAACGAAACUGACAUCAUUACUUGAGACAGAGAGAGAGAGAGAGAGAGAGAGAGAGAGAGGGACAUUGUUAAGAAGAUAUGGUUAGGGAUAUUUGUUGCUGCACAAAUAUUGAAGUUAGCUAGUAUAACGUUAUGUUAAAGACUUAUUUGCAAGUGAGACUGUAAUGGAAGCAAACACUACAAUGAUGUAACAUUAAGUUAAAAGUUGGCUCUAUUUAUUUAGGCUAUUUACCAUUAUUUAUGAAUGUUUAUCGUCAUGAAUAUUUGUAUGACAGUAUUAAUGAAUCUGAUUGAAGAUAAUUUUCCAUCAACUUACCUUGAGCUAGUCUUUAUUUCAUACAGUUAACAAUUUGACAUCACUGAGUACAAUAACUGUUGAGCUGAAAUGGUGUUAAAUUGAGGUGCCAACUUGGUAGGAUUUUGAAUCAGAAAGAAACCUAUAUUCAUAGCCUAUUUAACUACAAAUGCUCAGAUAAUAUUAGGUUUGGUACUAUAAUUGAUUCUGCAGAAGAAUAAGUACUCUAUAGUUUAUUGGUUCUCAUCCAUUUUGAUGAGUGCUCCCUAAAAUCAGAGGAAUGCCUUUUUGCAAUUGUGUAGUUUACCAGAAUAGCAAUGUCUUUAGUGUAGCUACUGAUCUUUUUAUAUGUUUUUAUAUUAUGUGUAUUAUAAGUUGGCAGAUACGAGUAAUUCAAGUUUCCAUAUGUAGGCCUAAUGUUAGUCAUCACUCGGCUACAGAUAGGGUUAUAGGCUAGCAUUCAUGCUAGUUUUUUAAUUUGUUUUUCUGCUCUCUCUCUCUCUCCCUCUCUGUAGUGGUUGACAGUGGCAGCUAGCUGUUUCAUUAGCUGGAGAGCUAAUAUCUGCAGGGUGUUUCUAGUCGGAUAGCACCAUUUUUGUGGUGUUGUUGUGUGGUUAUGUUGGUCGUUUGUUGAUGUUAGCGGGAAAGAGGCAAGGCACUUGGGAGCGUGCAAAAAUGUCACUUCGGAAGGAUUUUCGUGAAAAAUCCGGCCCGGGUCCUUCACAUAGAAAUCAGUACACAGGCUGUUACUGUUUUGCCUUUCAGGCAAUUUGUUUUCUAAAUAUUUCUUUGUGUGUUUUAUGUAGUUUAAUGCUUUCUACUGUUCAGUCAGAUUGCAUCACUUCCUCCGCCACCUAACAGAAGGAGCCAUCAGAGCAGCAGGGCUGUGGAUCAUAGGGGGGUUGGAUGUGUAUGGACCCUGAUCAGUCACAGCCAGACGCACAAGAGGAGGCCGAGCACAAAGCAAGUGAUGGGCACUGUUGUUCAGCUGCAUGAGUUCAAGAGCAGUCCAUAUUGAAGUACUGGAAUCCAUGGACACUUCAAGCUGCAUCAAUGCACUCCGUGGGCCUGCAAAACAGCUCAGAUCUGACUGCGGCUCAAAUUUUGUGGGUGCCUGUAAGGACUACAAGAUGGGCAGCAGAGCCCAAGUGUGCAGAACUACCUGAGCCAACAAGACUGCACAUGGGAGUUUAACCCCCCUCAUGCCUCUCAUAUGGAAGGAUCAUGACAGCGCAUGAUUGGGGUGGCUCAAAAAAUCCUUGACUCGAUGUUGCUUCAGGAGAACACGCACCUCUCUCAUGAAGUCUUGUGCACUCUUAUGGCGAAGGUUACAGCAGUAAUGAAUGUGAGACCUCUCAUCCCAGUUUCCACAGACCCCAACUCACCAUUCAUCCUUACGCCUGCAAUGAUACUCACUCAGAAGGUCGGGGUCCCACCUCCUCCUGGGGACUUCACGGACAAUGAUCUUCUCCGCAAUCAGUGGAGACAAGUUCAAGCUCUUGCCAAUAAGUUUUGGACUCGCUGGCGCCACGAGUAUCUCCAAACUCUGCAAAAUCGACAAAAGUGGACCAAAGCUUGCAGAUACCUACAUUCAGGUGAUAUUGGGCUGUUAAGAGACAAUCAAACUGCCCGUAAUGAGUGGCCUAUGGUUAUGGUCACUUCUGCUUUCACUGGAAGAGAUGGAAGAGUCCGCAAAGUGGAAGUCAAAACCACAAAUCAGGGCUCUGUGAAGACUUACCUGAGACCAGUCUCAGAGGUCGUUUUGCUUCUCCAGAAAGAGGACUCUUUUUAAUGGUAUAAUGUAAUUUCUUGGUAGUGACCUAACAAAGGUCAGGCGGGGAGUGUUUUGCCUUUCAGGCAAUUUGUUUUCUAAAUAUUUCUUUGUGUGUUUUAUGUAGUUUAGUGCUUUCUACUGUUCAGUCAGAUUGCAUCACUUCCUGUGUAGACUGGAAGUAGGAAGUUUACAUCACUUCCUGUGUAGACCAGAAGUAAGAAGUUGGUCUAAUUGAAGGCCAAAAGUUUGUUGCUGGAAUUCAGUGUCAAUCUGGUGUUAUCUGGUUGUUCUUCCCAACAAAAGCAUUGCUUGUAAGUUGCUCAUAUGUAUACUUAACAAUUUCCUUCAGGUAUUGACAAGUAUUUUUGCUAGUGUUAGAAGUGUAAGGUUUAUUUUGCCACCUAAUUGCCAACCAUUCCGCUUAGUUGUGAGUGAUACCUGCUCACAUGUGACUGUUCUAUUGUGCACAUCUUUGGAGUAAAUUCAUAUGGUUGUUAAGGUGAUUAGGCAGUAUUGUGGGGAUGUUUGUACUGAUGUGGACCACAGGGUGUUGACCUAAUCACUUUUCCUUUGCCUGCCAUACCAUUUGAAUGUCAGCCAUAUUGGUGUUAGUUUACUAUUUAAUAUCCUUUGUUACUUAUUUUGUUUAUAUUUAGUAGUGAUUGGUGAUGAUUGGAAAUAGGAUUAUUAAUCUGAUUUAUUCAUAUUUGAUAAAAGCAAUUUAUCCUUGUAUUGAUAAUAUUAUAUUAAUGUGUUUUGUGCUUUGUUAUUUUUUCAGUUUCACUCCUGAUAUUCAACUAUACACACAUUGGGUCUGCAAUAAAAAAACGGAGCUAGAAUGCUA
Molecule: long non-coding RNA, 3505 nt
Organism: Thunnus maccoyii (southern bluefin tuna)
Lineage: Eukaryota; Metazoa; Chordata; Actinopteri; Scombriformes; Scombridae
Exons: 2
Source: RefSeq, a predicted model, not a curated record